This 465-nucleotide ribosomal RNA is filed under the name Vreelandella stevensii. RNAcentral's name for it is "partial 16S ribosomal RNA". It matches the Rfam family "Bacterial small subunit ribosomal RNA", at positions 338 to 795 of the family's 1533-position model. Lineage: Bacteria; Pseudomonadati; Pseudomonadota; Gammaproteobacteria; Oceanospirillales; Halomonadaceae. The record is from RNAcentral.
CCUACGGGGGGCAGCAGUGGGGAAUAUUGGACAAUGGGGGGAACCCUGAUCCAGCCAUGCCGCGUGUGUGAAGAAGGCCCUCGGGAUGUAAAGCACUUUCAGUGAGGAAGAACGCCUGGUGGUUAAUACCCAUCAGGAAAGACAUCACUCACAGAAGAAGCACCGGCUAACUCCGUGCCAGCAGCCGCGGUAAUACGGAGGGUGCGAGCGUUAAUCGGAAUUACUGGGCGUAAAGCGCGUGUAGGUGGCUUGAUAAGCCGGUUGUGAAAGCCCCGGGCUCAACCUGGGAACGGCAUCCGGAACUGUCAAGCUAGAGUGCAGGAGAGGAAGGUAGAAUUCCCGGUGUAGCGGUGAAAUGCGUAGAGAUCGGGAGGAAUACCAGUGGCGAAGGCGGCCUUCUGGACUGACACUGACACUGAGGUGCGAAAGCGUGGGUAGCAAACAGGAUUAGAUACCCCUGUAGUC